This is a long non-coding RNA of Oreochromis niloticus (Nile tilapia), 2464 nucleotides long. RefSeq lists it as uncharacterized. The record is from RefSeq and is a predicted model, not a curated record. The transcript is spliced from 2 exons. NCBI's taxonomy places the organism in Eukaryota, Metazoa, Chordata, Actinopteri, Cichliformes, Cichlidae.
GUUCCUUUCAUCCUUAGUAGUAUCUGUUAUCCAAAGAAUGGUUGGCUGUUCUUAGGCGUGGUGCUUUUUCGUAAAAAAUUCAGAAUAUAAAUCCCAGGGUAUAUUUGUGCGUUAAAUUAUUUUGCUUGUCGAAAUGCUGUAUUCUUGGCAAGUAAAAUUUCACGUAGCAGUCUAGUCAACUCAAAGACAUUAUGAAAGCAUGAAACUCAUGGCUCUCACAGGUUGUAGUAGAACUAAAUAACAGAUCAUUGAUUAGCCCUAUUCAGGAGCAUCCUUCUUUGUGACUUAACGCCAUCACUUUCCACAAUGCUCCAGGAAAGUGACCUGAUUAUAUAAAUGUAUAAUUUACACAAAUCUUUUCAGAACCCACAUUCCCAUUUUAAAGCUUGUCUAAAAAUGCUUUUGACUGAAGUGUUUCUAUAACUAAAUAAAUGUUUAAUCAAAAGCUUCAUAUACUCUUGAUUUGCACGUCUUGUCGAGUUUGAGGAUUAAACAUUUGAUGUAGGCCACUCUGAUUAAGCAAUCAGCUGUUAUUUUAACUGAUUUUGGUAGUAGUUUAGGCUAAUCUGUUUUGGAUGAUAUUCAUCUCCUCUUGUUCAGCGGUACAAACUUCAGCAUCAUGUGGUGAGCUGACACAGUUUAACGCUCACCACAAAAAGAAGAAAGACCUGCCCCACUCUCAGACCUGGUAAAGGCUAUGCGGAUAUGUCAUCCUCAUUCAACUUUUUUUUGCAUGAAGGAGAAAAAUUAAAAUGAGAGGUAGACAGGAUAAGGAAAGGACGCAUAGUUGAGAGAAAGAUUUCUGUAGUUGGCCAGUCAUCCGUACAGAGCCAUGGCUCCAUGUUUAAGUGCUGCUCCCACCGUCGCCCCCUGGGGGGAUAUGGGUGUACUGUGCCUCUUGGAGUUUUGAUGAAAUGGCUACUGACAUGCUUUGUGCACAAUGCCCUGGAAGCCAACUGAGUUGAGAUAUAGAGGGAGAGAGAGAGAGAGAGAGAUCACAGCACAACAGAGUCUUUGCUGCCAAAAGGGUUGUUCCCAACUACUGUCAUUUUAAUGAGAAGUAUGAGGGCAGAUGCAUUCAGGCCAAGGUGAGAGAAUCCUGUUCAUUCAGCUGAGCACAAACCGCUCUUCUCUUGAGUGCUAGUUCAGCCAUGGUCAACAACUUGCAGCAUAACAAUGGAAAAAUGUGGACAGUCGUGAUCGGUCAAGGGCGCUUUUAAAAUAUGUUAUUUUAACAGAAAAUGUGUUUAAACACUUAAGCCUAGUUACUUAACCAGCUUAUUGAAGGUAGUGUGGCACUGACAAAAACGAGCAUGUAGCGUUUUUUCAUCCGCAGCUGUUGUAUAAAGUGUAUAAAUUAGAUUUUCACUAGAAAUACCUGAUUUCUAAAGACAAAGGGAUUAGAGAUUUAAAUGGAGAAAAAAGAUAGUUGGGAUGUUUUAGAAGAUGUAAAUUAAGAAAAAAAAACCCCCGCAAUGCAGUUAUUCACAAAACCUAUAGCACAUAUAAAGAUAAAAGAAAAAUGUCAAACCGCUUAAAAUAUCUGUUCAUUUAAAAUUUAAUGACAACAUGUUUAAAAGGCCAGUUAGGAUCCUUGAAUGUUUUACUACAGAGCCACACUGAUCUGUGCAGAAUGGGGUUUGAUGUUGUGUUGCUAAAAUAACCAAGAUCUUCCAUGAAAAAGAGAUUUUCCUGAUGGGAGCAUUUGUGGUGCCUUUACACAUGUCUAUGUAGCUAAUUCUAUAUGCACUAUUGAUCCCGAUUAUCACAGAUACUGCUUUUAAAUGUUGUGUAGUUUGCAGAACGCAGCAUCCAUGAGUCUCAAAGAGAUGUUCAGAUUUUUCAUAUUUACUGUGAAAAAAUGAGUUUAGUGACAGUGCAAUGUCUCUUUCAAGAUUAUAUUGUCCUUUCAGUUUUAUUUAGGCCUUAUAUAAUCGUCAAAAUCAUUGGAUUAUUGUGAUAUUUUGGCGAUAUACAUUUUACACAGCAUUCCAGUUCCUGGAAAUCAAGGUUGCACAGUGUGUUGUACUGAAAACAGAAAAUAACAGAGUUGUUAUUAACUUUGUAGUAAAGCCUUUCACAAAAACACUGCUUAGCUACGCACAACUGUUCAAGUUUUGACACAGUUGUGCUCUCUGUGCUACCCAAUUUUGUCAAGCUAGCAGAUUUCAAAUUUAAUUCUAUUUUAUUUAUACAGCACCAAAUCACAUCAACAGUCACCUCAAGGCACUUUAUAUUGUAAGGUAAAGACCCUACAAUAAUACAGAGAAAAUUCCAGCAAUCAGAGGACCCCUUUUAAGAAAGCACUUGGUGACAGUGGGAAGAAAAACCUCUCUUUUAACAGGAAGAAAGUGUUAGAGGUGUGUCUACACUUUGUGGGGAGCUGUGAUUGAGUCACCACAGUUUGGUGAUGUGGCAGCUAAUGUUAGCUCAGAGACAGAGAGGAGCUGAGAAAAAUUAAUAA